This 428-nucleotide ribosomal RNA is filed under the name uncultured bacterium. Its description in RNAcentral is "bacterial SSU rRNA". It matches the Rfam family "Bacterial small subunit ribosomal RNA", at positions 28 to 454 of the family's 1533-position model. The record is from RNAcentral.
GAUGAACGCUAGCGGCAGGCCUAACACAUGCAAGUCGAGGGGUAACAGGGAGCUUGCUCCGCUGACGACCGGCGCACGGGUGCGUAACGCGUAUAGAACCUACCUUUUACAGGGGGAUAGCCUUUAGAAAUGAAGAUUAAUAUCCCAUAGUAUUAUUAGAUGGCAUCAUUUAGUAAUUAAAGAUUUAUCGGUAAAAGAUGGCUAUGCGUCCUAUUAGUUAGUUGGUAAGGUAACGGCUUACCAAGACAUCGAUAGGUAGGGGUCCUGAGAGGGAGAUCCCCCACACUGGUACUGAGACACGGACCAGACUCCUACGGGAGGCAGCAGUGAGGAAUAUUGGGCAAUGGAGGAGACUCUGACCCAGCCAUGCCGCGUGUAGGAAGAAUGCCCUAUGGGUUGUAAACUACUUUUAUACAGGAAGAAACACU